This 253-nucleotide ribosomal RNA is filed under the name uncultured bacterium. RNAcentral's name for it is "partial 16S ribosomal RNA". It matches the Rfam family "Bacterial small subunit ribosomal RNA", at positions 524 to 776 of the family's 1533-position model. The record is from RNAcentral.
UACGAAGGGGGCUAGCGUUGCUCGGAAUCACUGGGCGUAAAGCGCACGUAGGCGGAUUGUUAAGUCAGGGGUGAAAUCCUGGAGCUCAACUCCAGAACUGCCUUUGAUACUGAAGAUCUCGAGUCCGGGAGAGGUGAGUGAAACUGCGAGUGUAGAGGUGAAAUUCGUAGAUAUUCGCAAGAACACCAGUGGCGAAGGCGGCUCACUGGCCCGGUACUGACGCUGAGGCACGAAAGCGUGGGGAGCAAACAGG